This is a non-coding RNA of Characodon lateralis, 84 nucleotides long. NCBI's taxonomy places the organism in Eukaryota, Metazoa, Chordata, Actinopteri, Cyprinodontiformes, Goodeidae. The record is from the annotation of a GenBank genome assembly.
UGCACGGUGGCGCAGUUGGUAGCACUGUUGCUUUGCAGCAAGAAGGUCCUGGGUUCAAUUCCUGGAGUAUGUUCUCCCUGUGCA